This is a long non-coding RNA of Fukomys damarensis (Damara mole-rat), 432 nucleotides long. RefSeq lists it as uncharacterized. NCBI's taxonomy places the organism in Eukaryota, Metazoa, Chordata, Mammalia, Rodentia, Bathyergidae. The record is from RefSeq and is a predicted model, not a curated record. The transcript is spliced from 4 exons.
GUCACCACAAUAGACACUUGUGCUCUGCUCUUCUCCAUAUCUUACUCCAUGCAAGUGCUUCUGAACAGGAGAAUCAUGGCCUUGUAUGGAAUGGAGUCCCUCUGGCUCACCAAAAGAAAAAAGCCCUUGUUGUCAUGAGAACCUGGUUCCUCCAACGCUUUUCCAAAGGUGCCCCACUAAUUCAAAAGCCAGAGACACCCCCUUGUCAAAAAGCUAUCCUCUGACUGAAAGCAUGGAGGACAAAUUACACUUGGAUCAUUGGGUUGUAUAGGUGCAAGUGAACAAGUUAUUUUCUGUUGGUUCCUGUGUCCAGCCUUCAGAUGGCAAACCACAAGGCCAGCUCCUUGUCAGGCAAGAGACAGCAAUCUGAGAAAUCAACAAAAGGAAGAGGGAUCCAGUCCCAGGAAGAAGGCCUUCUAGUAGAAGAGAGAA